GGCAGUUCUCAGGUGAUGCACCCUGGAAUUGGGCUCCUUCCUCUGGUUCUGGGUGCGUCACCCGAGAACCGCC
Non-coding RNA from Myotis davidii, 73 nucleotides. The record is from Rfam. Lineage: Eukaryota; Metazoa; Chordata; Mammalia; Chiroptera; Vespertilionidae.